This is a long non-coding RNA of Hylaeus anthracinus, 3021 nucleotides long. RefSeq lists it as uncharacterized. The record is from RefSeq and is a predicted model, not a curated record. The transcript is spliced from 3 exons. Lineage: Eukaryota; Metazoa; Arthropoda; Insecta; Hymenoptera; Colletidae.
GCGGGGAACUGCCGCGAAAUGGAAUGGAAGCCACCCAGGAGGACAGGGAAUAACACUUGGCGACAGCGGGGGAGAGAUUCUCUCCCUCGCGCGCAAUUUCUCUCCGCUGUCGUUGAGAAAAGGACGGGUCGCGUGCUGACUCCGUGGCGUCUCCUUCGGUGUGCCCCUUGCCCCUGGCCGCGGGGGUUUAGUCUCUUUCGGUUGUCCUGGCGUCGUAGUUCGCCUGGCGAGGCGGUUUUGGCGCGACAGAAUGGCGGAAGAGAGGAAAAAAGACCUCCGAACGAGAUGAAAGAAAAAAAAAAAAAGAGAGAGUAAUAGAGAGGGUCGCGAUGGAGGAGUUUUAGAGGAAUGCGGGAAUUAAGGCGGAGAGAGGAGGAAUUGUUACGGUACAGGAUGCAGUCGUACCGAGAAAUUCAUAUAUCGAGAUGUUUUCUUCUGAAAUUGUCCCAUAACAUACAGAGUGGUCCAACUCCCUUCAAAUUUCCUUCUUCUUACUUUUUAUAAAAAUCUCCACUUCGUUAUUUAUUAUAAUAACACAUGUCUAAAUUCUUAACUGUUUCAGUCCAGAGUACCAUCGGCCUCCAACCCUCAAAACGAGGCCACCGCCAAGCCUUAAGUGGGCCAGGUAAACGGGGAAGGACCGUGGAAGUUAUUACGGGAGCGACACUAGCGCCGCCCUCGCGAUGUCUGCUACUUAAUCCAGUUCUACAGGCAGCCACGUGUUCUGGCUUCUAGUUCGGUCGCACACGAUGUAUAGUAAAGAUUGGAUAAGUGCAAGACAGGAUUCACUGGAUGAAUGCAAGAUGACUCGGCGAGUGAGUAAUACGACACUAACCGAUUGAUACGCUUCUGACGACUACUUCCUUUCCUCUGAGCUCUUUCUGUUUAACUCUCUGUCCUUUUCUACGUAUGACUAGAGUCAAAUGUAAACACGGAAUAGAAACCUCGACUGGAUAACCGCAGUGUUUCGGUCACGACUUUUGUACAUUUUGUCUGACAACAUACAUUCAAAAAAACUUUCCUAACAUGGUGGUACACACUUCGUCGCAGAAACAAAAUCAUCUGAUUUAUUUGGAUGGACUCUUCAGUCACGGAAAUAUUGUUCAAUUUAUGAAUGUUGUAGUUUCAAGUAGAAAAUUCCGGAGCAACGUAAAUCGAACUCGCUAACGAAUCAACGUAUACAAAUUUAUCUUGAGCCCACAGGUGAGCAAAUGUAAACGCUCAACAAAUCAAAUAAUUUUAUUUCGAGUUGAGCGCGCUCUUAAUAUGGAAAAGGGGGAUCGAUCGUUCGUUGGGGAAAACAUCCUCGUAGAUUCCGAUAUUCGUGUCACAAAUUAACGUAAUUGAUGUUCAGAAAUUUACGCUUGUCGUUUCGCGACUGAAUUUAAACACGCAAUAAUAUUUUAUCGGCACGAACGAACCUGCCGUCGAAGAAAACAAAACGAGCCCCAUAGAAAUCUACGAAAGCUAGACAAACGACUGCGAAUGGUAUGGUUUAUCAUCGCCGAUGGCGAUAUUAUACGCGAAAUAUCGCGCGAACGAAUAGGAACCGUCGCUUUUGUCAUUUGUAUACUGAUUAAAUUAAAUGUACCCUCGAUUCGAGGCAAUUACAUUAACUUUGACCAAAAAUAGGUUCGCGACUGAACUGCGUUAUAAAUGGAGAAAUGGGACUCCAAAGUUAGGCUCCAAGUCUUUUACAGAGCUAACAUCGGAGGAUUUGAAAAUUUAACAAACGCCUCGUGCGAGAGUCACGUGGCCAGGUUCAUUAAGGGUGUCAACUGGAUUGCUUCACAAAAUUUUCCGAUGUUAGCUUGAAUCGAUAACUAAAUUAGACUUAGUUGCACUUCAUACAAUCCCCCUCUACCGAUAAACCACAACUUUUCUGCCAAAUUAAACUUGCAACCUUGAACUUGAACACCGUUCUUCGCCAGAAAUUUACUAAAAUCCACCUUUCUAAUCAACUCAUUCCUUAACAAAUCCCCUCCGUGAACCAAUUUUCACCACCAAUUUCACCCCCGUUCUUAUCUCGUCGCUGGCAAAAUUCUCACAACUCGAAAUAAGGUGGAUUCCGAUCCCAUCGAUGAUCGGAACGAUCCCGAGGCGAGUAGCCCCGAAUUAGCUUAAUCGACUCGCGUCGAUGGAUCGUUCGAUCCUUCUUCCGUGUCGUGUCUUUGUAGGAAAUUGGCUCCGGAUUCCCGAUGGUCUGAGAAGGACGCCCGGCGAUCCUAGUUGUUAAUGACUUGUCUACGUGCGGUGCUCGGUCCUCCCGGACCAGCUCUGCGUCGGUUGCAACCCGACUCACCGUGUAAUCACGCGCGGGGCGAACAGGAGAAGGAGCUGAUGCCAGCGAGGAAUAUUUCAGGCGCAACGACGCGGAAGAAAAUUACGCGGGCUUCUUCCGGUCCCCUCCGACGCGCGGGAGAUUUAAACGAGACGCGAGGACCGAUCGGGGGAGAAACUCGUUCGAAAAAGCGUCAUCGGUGCACUUUUUCGAAAUUACUUUCUUGGCCUCUAGUUUCUGGUUGACAGGCUGAAGAUACCGUUCUGAUGUACGGAGAAAUUAGCGAGUGGAAUUUUGCAUGGAAUUUUUGUAUUCUUUUAUUAUCAUUUUUAGCGAGUUGCAUGCUGAAGAUAGUCGAAGUCUAGGGUUUUGCUCAUCACUGGUUUGAUGUUUCCACUGUGUAUGAUAAUUCAAUUGCAACGUGUUCCAUUUUUAGUGGACCAAAAAGUGCACGUAACCCUGUUUAUUCUCACUCACUCACGAAUGCUAUCAGAAAACAAUUAAAAAUUUCGACGUCCUUCUGUUAAAAACUAACGCUUCCCCAUCGCUAUCGAGAAACUUCACGCCGCAGAAUCGAAUGUAAAAAGAGCAACAUUCCGGGAACCAAGGCGUGUGUAUCGUUCCUCGCGUCGGCUCCGUAGGAUUUAUCUUCAAGGUCCUGGGAGAUCUUGAAUUGCGAGAUGUUUGUUUCCUGCCGACGGAGAAACCUGGCUUCGGACGCGAAGGAAAAGCUGACACCG